ACGUAGGCAUAAGACGCGAUGUCUUAGCGAGCACACUUCUCUUUAACCCAUAGGUAGCCGAGCUACGAAGACUCUGAUUCUCAUACUCAGAUGAGAUACGUAUGCAGUGGAUGCGACAUCCGUGCGAUGUCUUAGCGAGCACACUUCUCUUUAACCCAUAGGUAGCCGAGCUACGAAGACUCUGAUUCUCAUACUCAGAUGAGAUACGUAUGCAGUGGAUGCGACAUCCGUG
This 232-nucleotide long non-coding RNA is filed under the name Lathyrus oleraceus (garden pea). Its description in RNAcentral is "Pisum sativum (pea) long non-coding RNA (PSAT_LNC018965)". The record is from RNAcentral. Lineage: Eukaryota; Viridiplantae; Streptophyta; Magnoliopsida; Fabales; Fabaceae.